Molecule: ribosomal RNA, 255 nt
Filed under: uncultured bacterium
Lineage: Bacteria
Description: partial 16S ribosomal RNA
Rfam family: Bacterial small subunit ribosomal RNA
Source: RNAcentral
UACGUAGGGUGCGAGCGUUAAUCGGAAUUACUGGGCGUAAAGCGUGCGCAGGCGGUUUUGUAAGUCUGACGUGAAAGCCCCGGGCUUAACCUGGGAAUUGCGUUGGAGACUGCAAGGCUUGAAUCUGGCAGAGGGGGGUAGAAUUCCACGGUGUAGCAGGUGAAAUGCGUAGAGAUGUGGAGGAACACCGAUGGCGAAGGCAGCCCCCUGGGUCAAGAUUGACGCUCAUGCACGAAAGCGUGGGGAGCAAACAGG